Molecule: unclassified non-coding RNA, 1274 nt
Organism: Orbicella faveolata
Lineage: Eukaryota; Metazoa; Cnidaria; Anthozoa; Scleractinia; Merulinidae
Source: RefSeq, a predicted model, not a curated record
AGGGUAACAAAGGAAAUAACUGUCAAACGCAUGAAAGUUCAUCUGAUGCAUGAUCUGUUUUUGUACCCGUUAGGCUCGCUAAUUAAAAAUUCAGUUACACUCAAUUCAUACGGAUGGUUGAUCUAAAUAUCACGUUCCAAAAUCACGACUGAAAUUAUCGCAAGAAUGCUGAAGUACUUUGCUGUACGUGGCUUAAAUCAUGACGUUGGACACUAGAUCUACGCAACAUAACACAGCCAAGAGGAACUGGGCACUGGUUUGAGGUCACUACUUCCGUGGAGACGUCAGCCAUCAUUAAAUGUACACUAAACGAAGUAAUCGGUUGAUGCCGAAGAGACCGUUGGAAACAGGUUUCAUCAAGAAAUGGAGCUUUAAGUGUACAAGACUUUUCAAAGGUCAAGGAGAAUGUGAUAUAGUGUAUGACAUUUGCAGACUGCACGCGAAUUUUGGCCAAGUUAGCUUGAUUAUCAUUCUGGUUAGCCUGUUUACGGUUAACGGUUAACAACAGGACAUGGGCUCACCUCGAUCACGGCUCGCGCCAUCUUGCGGCCUUACGUAACAGAUUACUCAGAGGACCCUGGGAUGGUGUUCAGUCCCCCAAAUGAUGACAAGCCACGUUAUUUGCUGUGUUUAUGUACGAUUGUCUUAUCCAAAUAAUAUUUGUGAGCUGCAAAAGUUCUUAAAUCAGAAUAAGAAGACUCGAGGCUGGUGAUUGACGCAAUAAUUUCCUGGGAUUUAAACUAAACAAUGGCUCAAUCCUGGAGACACCAAUAUCAGGUAGAAGAUGAAGAGGUGGCGUUAGCCAAGGCUCUGGAGCUUUCACGUCUAGAAGAGGAAAAGAGACAGCCAGCACGUCCAAUCCAACACGAUCCUUUUCUCACAAGGCAGCCUGGUCAUGGGGAUUUGGUAGCAGUUAAAAUUACUGAGACUGUGAUUAAAAAAAAUCAGCUAGUACCCAAUAUCCCUUACUCUUUAAGCAUUAUUUAAAGAGUAAGGGAUAUUGGGUACUAGCUGAUUUAUUUUUAAGAGUCUUAAAUGUCGGUGAUAAGCUGAGGGUGGAAGACCACUGAAGUCUACUAAUAUCUCCACAUUGAACUGAUCUGUAGACAUUGCAACCACUAGUUUAAUUUUGUGAUGUUUCCGAGUGGCUAGUGUGACGCAGCGUUUCGUCGCGACCGAGGGACUCAUUGGAGACCUUUCCUGGGGCCUGUUUCUCGAAGGUCCCGAAAAGUUUUCGAACCCGGAAAGCCAUAGCAAAAUCUCGAACCUUAUGA